Pelodiscus sinensis (Chinese soft-shelled turtle) is the source of this 100-nucleotide microRNA precursor. NCBI's taxonomy places the organism in Eukaryota, Metazoa, Chordata, Testudines, Trionychidae. The record is from Ensembl.
GGGGUCAUGCCCCACCAACCGGACAGGAACAAGGAUUCCUGCCCUUAGGGUCCUGGGCUGGGGCCUGGAGCGAGGGCGGGUCCAGGCCCCCCUCCCACAC